GGCCUACCAUGGUNGUAACGGGUAACGGGGUGUUAGGGCACGACACCGGAGAGGGAGCCUGAGAAACGGCUACCACAUCCAAGGAUGGCAGCAGGCGCGCAAAUUACCCAAUCCCGACACGGGGAGGUAGUGACAAUAAAUAACAAUACGGGGUUCUUUCGGAUCUCGUAAUUGGAAUGAGUCCAAUUUAAAUCUCUUAACGAGGAACAAUUGGAGGGCAAGUCUGGUGCCACCAGCCGCGGUAAUUCCAGCUCCAAUAGCGUAUAUUAAAGUUGUUGCAGUUAAAAAGCUCGUAGUUGAACUUCAGGCCUGGCUGGACGGUCCGCCCUUCGGGUGAGUACUGUCUGUGGUCGGGUCCUACCUUCUGGCGAAGCGUCAUGGCCUUAACCGGCCGUGGCGGGGAACCAGGACUUUUACUGUGAAAAAAUUAGAGUGUUCAAAGCAGGCAAUCGCUUGGAUACAUUAGCAUGGAAUAAUGGAAUAGGACAAUGGUUCUAUUUGUUGGUUUCUAGGACCGUUGUAAUGAUUAAUAGGGAUAGUUGGGGGCAUUAGUAUUCAAUUGUCAGAGGUGAAAUUCUUGGAUUUAUUGAAGACUAACUACUGCGAAAGCAUUUGCCAAGGAUGUUUUCAUUAAUCAAGAACGAAAGUUAGGGGAUCGAAGACGAUCUGAUACCCUCGUAGUCUUAACCAUAAACUAUGCCGACUAGGAAUCGGGCGAUGUUGAAAAAAUGACGCGCUCGGCACCUCAUGGGAAACCAAAGUGUUUGGGUUC
This 772-nucleotide ribosomal RNA is filed under the name uncultured Paraglomus. RNAcentral's name for it is "SSU rRNA". It matches the Rfam family "Eukaryotic small subunit ribosomal RNA", at positions 338 to 1114 of the family's 1831-position model. The record is from RNAcentral. Lineage: Eukaryota; Fungi; Glomeromycota; Glomeromycetes; Paraglomerales; Paraglomeraceae.